RNAcentral lists this ribosomal RNA (495 nucleotides) under uncultured Actinomycetales bacterium. RNAcentral's name for it is "partial 16S ribosomal RNA". The record is from RNAcentral. Lineage: Bacteria; Bacillati; Actinomycetota; Actinomycetes; Actinomycetales.
CACGUAGUUAGCCGGCGCUUCUUCUGCAGGUACCGUCACUCAAGAGCUUCUUCCCUGCUGAAAGAGGUUUACAACCCGAAGGCCUUCAUCCCUCACGCGGCGUCGCUGCAUCAGGCUUGCGCCCAUUGUGCAAUACUUCCCCACUGCUCGCCUCCCGUAGGAGUCUGGGCCGUGUCUCAGUCCCAGUGUGGCCGGUCGCCCUCUCAGGCCGGCUACCCGUCGUCGCCUUGGUGAGCCGUUACCUCACCAACAAGCUGAUAGGCCGCGGGCCCAUCCCGCACCGCCGGAGCUUUCCACCCAAGACCAUGCGACCUUGAGUCAUAUCCGGUAUUAGACCCCGUUUCCAGGGCUUAUCCCAGUGUGCGGGGUCAGGUUGCCCACGUGUUACUCACCCGUUCGCCACUAAUCCCUCCCGAAGGAGGUUCAUCGUUCGACUUGCAUGUGUUAAGCACGCCGCCAGCGUGUCCUCGUAGCCUACGGACGUCAAACGUACCU